GAUGAACGCUGGCGGCGUGCCUAAUACAUGCAAGUCGAGCGAACGGACGAGAAGCUUGCUUCUCUGAUGUUAGCGGCGGACGGGUGAGUAACACGUGGAUAACCCACCUAUAAGACUGGGAUAACUUCGGGAAACCGGAGCUAAUACCGGAUAAUAUUUUGAACCGCAUGGUUCAAAAGUGAAAGACGGUCUUGCUGUCCCUUAUAGAUGGAUCCGCGCUGCAUUAGCUAGUUGGUAAGGUAACGGCUUACCAAGGCAACGAUGCAUAGCCGACCUGAGAGGGUGAUAGGCCACACUGGAACUGCGACACGGUCCAGACUCCUACGUGAGGCCGCAGUGGGGAAUCUUCCGCAAUGGGCGAAAGACUGACGGAGCAACGCCGCGUGAGUGAUGAAGGUCUUCGGAUCGUAAAACUCUGUUAUUAGGGAAGAACAUAUGUGUAAGUAACUGUGCACGUCUUGACGGUACCUAAUCAGAAAGCCACGGCUAACUACGUG
This 497-nucleotide ribosomal RNA is filed under the name uncultured bacterium. RNAcentral's name for it is "partial 16S ribosomal RNA". It matches the Rfam family "Bacterial small subunit ribosomal RNA", at positions 28 to 507 of the family's 1533-position model. The record is from RNAcentral.